UUGAGCGAUUUACUUCGGUAAAGAGCGGCGGACGGGUGAGUAACGCGUGGGUAACCUACCCGGGACACACGGAUAACAUACCGAAAGGUAUGCUAAUACGGGAUAAUAUAUUUGAGAGGCAUCUCUUGAAUAUCAAAGGUGAGCCAGUACAGGAUGGACCCGCGUCUGAUUAGCUAGUUGGUAAGGUAACGGCUUACCAAGGCGACGAUCAGUAGCCGACCUGAGAGGGUGAUCGGCCACAUUGGAACUGAGACACGGUCCAACCUCCUACGGGAGGCAGCAGUGGGGAAUAUUGCACAAUGGGCGAAAGCCUGAUGCAGCAACGCCGCGUGAGUGAUGAAGGCCUUCGGGUCGUAAAACUCUGUCCUCAAGGAAGAUAAUGACGGUACUUGAGGAGGAAGCCCCGGCUAACUACGUGCCAGCAGCCGCGGUAAUACGUAGGGGGCUAGCGUUAUCCGGAUUUACUGGGCGUAAAGGGUGCGUAGGCGGUCUUUCAAGUCAGGAGUGAAAGGCUACG
Molecule: ribosomal RNA, 517 nt
Filed under: Clostridioides difficile
Lineage: Bacteria; Bacillati; Bacillota; Clostridia; Peptostreptococcales; Peptostreptococcaceae
Description: bacterial SSU rRNA
Rfam family: Bacterial small subunit ribosomal RNA
Source: RNAcentral